UUUUAACCUUUUUUUCCUUUGUUUUUUCUCAUUCCUCGCCACCCCUAUUUCUUCUCUCUUUUCCUCUUACAAAUUCCAUAUAUUAUCUUUUCUCUUUAUAUACACUCUUUGUCACCAUCUGGGUUCUUAUUCUUUUUUCGUUGGGUUUUGGUGAUGAUGAUGACGAUGGCGGUGAAAGAUGAGUGGAUUCGGGCGGCGAUGAAGGACGACAACGUGGUGGUUGAAUUACUGGUAAGGCUCAAACAAGCGCAGGCUGCGCCACCGGCUCCGAAAUCUGCGGUGGUUGCACUCAAAUGGGGGAUACGUCAGCCGAGGUCUAAGGCUAUGUCGAUGCGAUGCGAAGCCAAGAGACACGGAGAUUUCAACGUCAGAGCUAGACGUAGCCCCACAACGCCUCUUUCUUGGAGCGGCGGCGGCGACGGUGCUGCCUCUCCUUACGCCGCCUAUGGCUUUGAAGAGACCAGUAAACGAGUCUCUCGCUCUCCGCCUACUGUACCUUCCAGAUCCAAGGGUACCGCUGGCAAUGAAACCACUGGCACAACUACCAAGAGAUCGAGAAGGAAGAAGACAUUUGCCGAACUCAAGGAAGAGGAGAGCUUACUUUUGAAGGAAAGGGUUCAUUUGGAAAAGGAGAUGGCAUCUAUGCGUGCUACAUUUACAGAACAGAGAGCCAGGAAUGAGAACUUGAAAAGAAUCAAGCUUGAUUUGAACUUGCAAAUUGCAAAGAAUGAAGCUGAGGAAGUACCUUCCUGUUUACCCCGUCAGAGAGUCCCCUCGACUCCCUCACAUGCCCUUGAUGAUAGUAAAGCACUGUUAGAUUCUUGCGAUGUAGGGAAAGCUGUACUGCCUGAUCUAAAUAUUAUGCCCGUUGAAGAUGAUUCCGUCAUCGAUACUUUAUAUGGCACCACCUGAAAAAGAUGAUUCGACUACUUUAAACCCCCCCCCCUCUAGCAGCAAAAGGUUGUGAGAAUCUGGUGGGGGACACUGGCCUAGGCAAUGAUCCAUGUGCUGACUGAUUUAACUAUACGACAAGCAACAAAUAUCACAGUUUGAGCUUGCUUCCCUUGAAAAGGCAGAAGAAGCUGACCGGCCAAAGAAAAAGAAAAGAUAUGCAGAGUAUUGCAGAAAUCCAAGCCUGUGUUGAUGGCAAAGAUUCUUGCCAUGGUGCCGGCCUCCUGCAUUCCUCUGACAUUCGUUGGGGUGUAGUUCUUGUUUUAUUCAGUAUUCCACCCUUAGAAACUUACGGAUGGGCUGAUAGCGAAUAGCUUUAAUGGACGAACAAUCAAUCUGAACGAUGGAUCACGAGAGAAUGACAAGUCGACCAAUAUAAUUAUGUUUUAGACCCAUCAGACGAUUGACGAUGGAGACCAGAUGAUGAGGAAGUAGAAUCCAUCAGCGAUUUAAGAGAUCGAAGCAUUUUUUUUGUGAAACGAAGGUUGAAAUCUUGUUUAGGG
Hibiscus syriacus is the source of this 1454-nucleotide RNA transcript. RefSeq lists it as uncharacterized. NCBI's taxonomy places the organism in Eukaryota, Viridiplantae, Streptophyta, Magnoliopsida, Malvales, Malvaceae. The transcript is spliced from 6 exons. The record is from RefSeq and is a predicted model, not a curated record.